This 349-nucleotide unclassified non-coding RNA is filed under the name fungal sp. Its description in RNAcentral is "partial internal transcribed spacer region". The stretch from base 1 to 46 matches the Rfam family "Eukaryotic small subunit ribosomal RNA", at positions 1786 to 1831 of the family's 1831-position model. Lineage: Eukaryota; Fungi. The record is from RNAcentral.
AAGUCGUAACAAGGUUUCCGUAGGUGAACCUGCGGAAGGAUCAUUAACACUUUGUUAACACCAAUAUCAACCAAAUGUGAACUGUAACGUCCCUAUUCAUUGUUAUAAACAAAUUUCGGUUUGUUUAUAACAGUGCGAUAGACAAUACCCUCUUAGUAGUUGUCACAAUAACUAAGCCUCCAUACUUAGUUGUUGUUGGCGAUGAAUAUAUUAACCAAUUUUAACCCUAUAACAUACGAAUUGUCUAAUCUUCAUAAAACUUAUUUGACUGCUCUCUCUUCGGAGAAUGUGGUUGAUAUAAGAUUUACGAAAUAUUGAACAACUCUUAGCAAUGGAUAUCUUGGGUCAU